RNAcentral lists this ribosomal RNA (229 nucleotides) under Klebsiella pneumoniae. RNAcentral describes it as "partial 23S ribosomal RNA". It matches the Rfam family "Bacterial large subunit ribosomal RNA", at positions 872 to 1100 of the family's 2925-position model. Lineage: Bacteria; Pseudomonadati; Pseudomonadota; Gammaproteobacteria; Enterobacterales; Enterobacteriaceae. The record is from RNAcentral.
AGGUAGUGCCUCAAGUAUUACCUGCGGGGGUAGAGCACUGUUUAGGCUAGGGGGUCAUGGCGACUUACCAAACCUUAGCAAACUCCGAAUACCGCAGAGUACAGCUUGGGAGACAGAGCACCGGGUGCUAACGUCCGGACUCAAGAGGGAAACAACCCAGACCGCCAGCUAAGGUCCCUAUUAUUGGCUAAGUGGGAAACGUAGUGUGAAGGCUAAAACAGUCAGGAUG